UAGGGAAUCUUCCGCAAUGGACGAAAGUCUGACGGAGCAACGCCGCGUGAGUGAAGAAGGAUUUCGGUUCGUAAAACUCUGUUGUUAGGGAAGAAAAAAUGUAUAGUAACUAUAUACAAAAGAGACGGUACCUAACCAGAAAGCCACGGCUAACUACGUGCCAGCAGCCGCGGUAAUACGUAGGUGGCAAGCGUUGUCCGGAAUUAUUGGGCGUAAAGCGCGCGCAGGUGGUUUAGAAAGUCUGAUGUGAAAGCCCACGGCUCAACCGUGGAGGGUCAUUGGAAACUAAUAAACUUGAGUGCAGGAGAGAAAAGUGGAAUUCCUAGUGUAGCGAUGAAAUGCGUAGAGAUUAGGAGGAACACCGGUGGCGAAAGCGGCUUUUUGGCCUGCAACUGACACUGAGGAGCGAAAGCGUGGGGAGCAAACAGG
This 429-nucleotide ribosomal RNA is filed under the name Verrucomicrobiota bacterium. RNAcentral describes it as "Verrucomicrobia bacterium partial 16S ribosomal RNA". It matches the Rfam family "Bacterial small subunit ribosomal RNA", at positions 355 to 776 of the family's 1533-position model. Lineage: Bacteria; Pseudomonadati; Verrucomicrobiota. The record is from RNAcentral.